Molecule: long non-coding RNA, 238 nt
Filed under: Gallus gallus (chicken)
Lineage: Eukaryota; Metazoa; Chordata; Aves; Galliformes; Phasianidae
Source: RNAcentral
CAUGCAUUGGAAGAGCUGGAAAACCGUCUAGAUAAAAGGAACAGAAAACGCUCCUGGGUUCAGGUGUCACUGAAUAAGGUAAAAUUACCUUGGUAUGCUCAUGACUUGGUAUUUCUUAAUUAGAUACAAUGAUGUUAGCUGCCUCAGAACUAGAGAAUAAAACCCUAAGAGUAAGAAUUUAUUGCAGUGGAGUAUUACAAAGCUUAGUAAGUAUCAUUGCUGAUUAUUUCUGUCAUCA